UACGUAAGAGGCAAGCGUUGUCCGGAAUCACUGGGCGUGAAGGGUGCGCAGGCGGUCUAGUAAGUCAAAAGUGAAAUCCAUCGGCUCAACCGGUGAACUGCUUUUGAAACUAUUAGACUUGAGAAUAGGAGAAGAGAGUGGAAUUCCUGGUGUAGUGGUGAAAUACGUAGAUAUCAGGAAGAAUACCAAUGGCGAAGGCAGCUCUCUAGCCUAAUUCUGACGCUGAGGUACGAAAGCUAGGGUAUCAAAC
Molecule: ribosomal RNA, 250 nt
Filed under: uncultured bacterium
Lineage: Bacteria
Description: partial 16S ribosomal RNA
Rfam family: Bacterial small subunit ribosomal RNA
Source: RNAcentral